GUAAUUUCCUCCGCCGCGCUCACUCCGCUAGUUUUCCUGGGAGUCACGGUGCUUGGUCGCGUUAUUGGGUCCGGGAAUUCAGAGAAUCUCCUUGUCCAGGGCCAGCUGAUACUUCACUCUCUUAUCCCAACGCCAACCCUUGAUAGAUGCGAACCAGUCGUAUUUCCUUUGUGGGAAAGGAGUCGCUUUUUAAAGACGUGCACUGGCCAUCUAGGGAGGAGCUUUUACUUCAACUCAAAAUAGGACUGGAGCUGACUGGUGACCUGGCGCUCGGUGGACGGAAACGCUGUUCUUGCCGCUUCGGCAGCUCCCAUGCUGGUGGGAGAGGCAAACUUGCAGUCUGCUCAUCUUAAGAUGGUGAAUGUUGAGAUAGGGUUGCUCCCGAAAAGCCGAGAAGAGGAGCGUUUGACCCAACCUGAGGGUGAUCCGAUAGACACUCUUUAGGGCGUCUGCAGAGUGGGUGCGCGUGGAGACAGUCAAUAAGAGAAAAUCGUAAAUACAGACGGUAUUCUAAAUCUAGCAUGCAUGUAAAGUUGUGUGACAUUUUAAAGAUUACAUUUUACACUUUA
RNAcentral lists this long non-coding RNA (569 nucleotides) under Pan troglodytes (chimpanzee). Its description in RNAcentral is "lincRNA". Lineage: Eukaryota; Metazoa; Chordata; Mammalia; Primates; Hominidae. The record is from RNAcentral.